AUGGCAGGAACACAAAGACUCAUAGGAAAUGAAAAAAAAGCACAAAAUCACCAAGAGAAUGUUCUCCCACCACCCUACACCAGAGCGGCAAUCGUCAAGAUUGCCUUGUGCAGGAACCAUCAAGAGCAGUUCAGCGAAUCAGGAUACGGUGCAAGGUUGAUUGGAAAUGACGCUGUAAAUGACACUACACAAGUCCCCUUUGGAGAAAUGCCCAAACCAAGGGAUUCCAUUGCCCAUCACGGCAAAAAUGUAAGGUCCAUCAGUCUGUUCAGAAAUUAUGCCCACUAUGGCUUAACAAAACCAAUUCAUAUAUGA
This 315-nucleotide ribosomal RNA is filed under the name Triticum aestivum (bread wheat). Its description in RNAcentral is "partial small subunit ribosomal RNA". The record is from RNAcentral. Lineage: Eukaryota; Viridiplantae; Streptophyta; Magnoliopsida; Poales; Poaceae.